AGUCCAUUAAGCCUAGUUGCUUAGCAUUGGGAGCAUUACCGUACGGUAACUCCUCAAAGUCAGUGGCAGGGUUACGGUACACUCUUAGCGUAGUAGAUUUCUUUCUCGCUUUUGCUGUGGCCGUGGCCGUUGCUAUAAACCUAUACUUCUUAGUU
RNAcentral lists this unclassified non-coding RNA (155 nucleotides) under uncultured Xylariaceae. RNAcentral's name for it is "sequence contains ITS2". Lineage: Eukaryota; Fungi; Ascomycota; Sordariomycetes; Xylariales; Xylariaceae. The record is from RNAcentral.